UACAGAGGUCUCAAGCGUUGUUCGGAUUCAUUGGGCGUAAAGGGUGUGUAGGUGGCGCGCUAAGUCGGGUGUGAAAUUUCGGAGCUUAACUCCGAAACUGCAUUCGAUACUGGCGUGCUUGAGGACUGGAGAGGAGACUGGAAUUCAUGGUGUAGCAGUGAAACGCGUAGAGAUCAUGAGGAAGACCAGUGGCGAAGGCGGGUCUCUGGACAGUUCCUGACACUGAGGCACGAAGGCCAGGGGAGCAAACGGG
Molecule: ribosomal RNA, 253 nt
Filed under: uncultured bacterium
Lineage: Bacteria
Description: partial 16S ribosomal RNA
Rfam family: Bacterial small subunit ribosomal RNA
Source: RNAcentral